AUGAAACGCCGGCGGCAUGCUUUACACAUGCAAGUCGAACGGCAGCACGGACUUCGGUCUGGUGGCGAGUGGCGAACGGGUGAGUAAUACAUCGGAACGUACCCAGUAAUGGGGGAUAACUAUCCGAAAGGAUAGCUAAUACCGCAUACGCCCUACGGGGGAAAGAGGGGGAUCGCAAGACCUCUUGUUAUUGGAGCGACCGAUGGCUGAUUAGCUAGUUGGUGAGGUAAAGGCUCACCAAGGCGACGAUCAGUAGCGGGUCUUAGAGGACGAUCCGCCACACUGGAACUGAGACACGGUCCAGACUCCUACGGGAGGCAGCAGUGGGGAAUCUUGGACAAUGGGCGCAAGCCUGAUCCAGCAAUGCCGCGUGCGUGAAGAAGGCCUUCGGGUUGUAAAGCGCUUUUGUCAGGGAGCAAAAGGUGGUGGCUAAUAUCCAUCGCUCUUGAGAGUACCUGAAGAAUAAGGACCGGCUAACUACGUGCCAGCAGCCGCGGUAAUACGUAGGGUCCAAGCGUUAAUCGGAAUUACUGGGCGUAAAGCGUGCGCAGGUGGUUUGUUAAGCACGAUGUGAAAUCCCCGAGCUCAACUUGGGAAUUGCAUUGUGAACUGGCUAACUAGAGUACGGCAGAGGGGGGUGGAAUUCCACGUGUAGCAGUGAAAUGCGUAGAGAUGUGGAGGAACACCGAUGGCGAAGGCAACCCCCUGGGCUGAUACUGACACUCAUGCACGAAAGCGUGGGGAGCAAACAGGAUUAGAUACCCUGGUAGUCCACGCCCUAAACGAUGUCAACUAGUUGUUGGGCUUUUCGGAGCUUAGUAACGCAGCUAACGCGUGAAGUUGACCGCCUGG
Molecule: ribosomal RNA, 852 nt
Filed under: uncultured bacterium
Lineage: Bacteria
Description: bacterial SSU rRNA
Rfam family: Bacterial small subunit ribosomal RNA
Source: RNAcentral